AGUGAACGCUGGCGGUAGGCCUAACACAUGCAAGUCGAACGGCAGCACAGUAAGAGCUUGCUCUUACGGGUGGCGAGUGGCGGACGGGUGAGGAAUACAUCGGAAUCUACUUUUUCGUGGGGGAUAACGUAGGGAAACUUACGCUAAUACCGCAUACGACCUACGGGUGAAAGCAGGGGAUCUUCGGACCUUGCGCGAUUGAAUGAGCCGAUGUCGGAUUAGCUAGUUGGCGGGGUAAAGGCCCACCAAGGCGACGAUCCGUUGCUGGUCUGAGAGGAUGAUCAGCCACACUGGAGCUGAGACACGGUCCAGACUCCUACGGGAGGCACCAGUGGGGAAUAUUGGACAAUGGGCGCAAGACUGAUCCAGCCAUACCGCGUGGGUGAAGAAGGCCUUCGGGUUGUAAAGCCCUUUUGUUGGGAAAGAAAAGCAGCAGGUUAAUACCCCGCUGUUCUGACGGUACCCAAAGAAUAAGCACCGGCUAACUUCGUG
This 492-nucleotide ribosomal RNA is filed under the name uncultured bacterium. RNAcentral's name for it is "partial 16S ribosomal RNA". It matches the Rfam family "Bacterial small subunit ribosomal RNA", at positions 29 to 507 of the family's 1533-position model. The record is from RNAcentral.